UUUUUAAAUUGCUGUAGUAUUUUGACUAUACAAAGGUAUUGUAAUAAGACUUUAAUUGAGUGCUAAAAGAAUGGAAUUACAAAAAAAGGCUUUUUUAAUUUUAAAAAUUAAAAUUAUUUUUUUUUGUGAAGAAACAAAAAUUUAAAUUAAAGACAAGAAGACCCUAAGAAUUUUUUUUUUUAUUAAAAUAAUAUUUUAUUUUAAAAAUUUAAUUGGGGCGAUUAAUUAAUAUUAAAAACUUUAUUAACAAAAAAAAAUGAUCCAUUAUUAAUGAUUAUUUGAUUAAAAUACUCUAGGGAUAACAGCGUAAUAAUUUUUGAUAGUUCUUAUAGAAAAAAUAGUUUGCGACCUCGAUGUUGGAUUAGGAUUCUUUUUU
Molecule: ribosomal RNA, 376 nt
Filed under: Amblyomma dissimile (iguana tick)
Lineage: Eukaryota; Metazoa; Arthropoda; Arachnida; Ixodida; Ixodidae
Description: partial large subunit ribosomal RNA
Source: RNAcentral